AACUUUUGACGGUGGAUCUCUUGGCUCACGCAUCGAUGAAGAACGCAGCCAGCUGCGAUAAGUAGUGUGAAUUGCAGAAUUCAGUGAAUCAUCGAAUCUUUGAACGCAAAUGGCGCUCUUGGGUUCUCCCAGGAGCAUGUCUGUCUGAGUGUCGGAAAUCGUCCAUC
Molecule: ribosomal RNA, 167 nt
Filed under: Echinopora horrida
Lineage: Eukaryota; Metazoa; Cnidaria; Anthozoa; Scleractinia; Merulinidae
Also listed under: 1 other name
Description: 5.8S ribosomal RNA
Rfam family: 5.8S ribosomal RNA
About the family: 5.8S ribosomal RNA (5.8S rRNA) is a component of the large subunit of the eukaryotic ribosome. It is transcribed by RNA polymerase I as part of the 45S precursor that also contains 18S and 28S rRNA.
Source: RNAcentral